UGACCGCGGCUGCUGGCACGGAGUUAGCCGGUGCUUAUUCAUAAGGUACCGUCAUUAUCUUCCCUUAUAAAAGGAGUUUACACACCGAAAUGCGUCAUCCUCCACGCGGCGUUGCUGCAUCAGAGUUUCCUCCAUUGUGCAAUAUUCCCCACUGCUGCCUCCCGUAGGAGUCUGGACCGUGUCUCAGUUCCAGUGUGCCUGAUCAUCCUCUCAGACCAGGUAUGCGUCAUAGCCUUGGUAGGCCAUUACCCCACCAACUAGCUGAUACAAUAAAGCCCCAUCCUUUAGCGAUAAAUCUUUCCCAACUUAUCUUGAGAUAAGAAGGAGUAUAGGGUAUUAGCAGUCGUUUCCAACUGUUGUCCCCCACUAAAGGGCAGGUUAGCUAUACAUUACUCACCCGUGCGCCACUAACAAAAUAAGCAAGCUUAUUUCAUCCGUUCGACUUGCAUGUGUUAAGCACGCCGCCAGCGUUCACUCUGAGCCAUGAUCAAACUC
This 495-nucleotide ribosomal RNA is filed under the name uncultured Campylobacterota bacterium. RNAcentral describes it as "uncultured Epsilonproteobacteria bacterium partial 16S ribosomal RNA". The record is from RNAcentral. Lineage: Bacteria; Pseudomonadati; Campylobacterota.